This 1046-nucleotide ribosomal RNA is filed under the name Neogloboquadrina dutertrei. RNAcentral's name for it is "bacterial SSU rRNA". It matches the Rfam family "Eukaryotic small subunit ribosomal RNA", at positions 1160 to 1806 of the family's 1831-position model. Lineage: Eukaryota; Foraminifera; Rotaliida; Globorotaliidae. The record is from RNAcentral.
AAGGGCACCACAAGAACGCGUGCCCCAUGUGGCUUAAUUUGACUCAACGCGGGAAAUCUUACCGCCCCCUGACACCUGAGCAUUGACAGGCAAUAUCUAAAUCGUUUAUAAUAAUUCCUAUUAUAAUACGUAUUUAGUGUUAAAUAUGCUAGUCCUUUCAUGAUUAUGUGAUAGGUGGUGCAUGGCCGUUCUUAGUUCGUGGAGUGAUCUGUCUGCUUAAUUGCGUUUCACUAAGGGCCCAUAAAUUCAAGGUAUGUUAGCUAUCGUUUCUCAAUUGACCCCUUGUCUUCGAUAAGCGCGUGUCUUUUAGAGUUUAAACAUUGCGCAUGCUGUUGGGUCCUGAAAGCAACGAACGUGACCGCAACGUCUUAUUGCCUUUAUCUUGCUAUAUUUUAAUUUAAUUAAAAAUAGCUAACAGAGGCUAAUUUAAAAUUAGACGGACCGCUGUACUUUUCUUAAACCAGAGGAAGGUUGCGGCAAUAACAGGUCUGUGAUGCCCUUAGAUGUUCCGGGCUGCACACGUGCUACAAUGAUCAGUACGGUGAGCAUCUCAAUAUUAUACACCGUAUUAAGCGCUUAGUUGCGAUUAUUGGCUCAUUAUUGGGUCUUUUAAUUGUAUUUCUAAUGCGCGCGGUAAAGCCUGCUUCGAGAGUAAGUGGGUAAUCCAUUGGAAGUAAUGAUUUCUCUUUUUAUAGCACACCUAUAUACGGCAUUCAUUCCCGGGACGACUAGUUUCGUCUUUUUUGUGCGAAUGUAAUGUAUUCUUUAUCCGUAUGUGCGAUUGUCAAUUCAUGGUGGGGACAGACCAUUGUUAAUUGUUGGUCUCGGUCUUAACUAGGAAUGCCUUGUACGGGUCUUUGGUUCAACAAACCACCCGGAAUACGUCCCUGCCCUUUGUACACACCGCCCGUCGCUCUUACCGAUGAACUUCUUUGUGAGUCUAAGGGACUGGGUUAAUGGGUAAUUCUAUAAGGGAUAUACCUAUGGAAACUUAUACGAACAAUGUGGUUUAAAGGGGGAGAGAAGUCGUACACAAGUGCAUCUAA